CGCCUCUUGCAAAACCAACGAAUAAGAGGUCCCGCCUGCCCUGUGACUAUAUGUUCAACGGCCGCGGUAUUUUGACCGUGCGAAGGUAGCGUAAUCACUUGUCUUUUAAAUGGGGACCUGUAUGAAUGGCACAACGAGGGCUCGACUGUCUCCUUUUUCCGGUCAAUGAAAUUGAUCUUCCCGUGCAGAAGCGGGAAUACUAACAUAAGACGAGAAGACCCUAUGGAGCUUUAGAUAAUAAGGCAGACUGUGUUAAGCACCCUUAUAAUAAAAGACCAAACUAACUGUAAAACUGCCCGAAUGUCUUUGGUUGGGGCGACCGCGGCGAAACAAAAAACCCCCGUGCAGAAAGAGGGGACUACCCUCCAAAUCAAGAGCUCCCGCUCUAACAAACAGAAUAUCUGACCUACAAGAUCCGGCAAUGCCGAUUAACGGACCGAGUUACCCUAGGGAUAACAGCGCAAUCCCCUUCUAGAGUUCAUAUCGACAAGGGGGCUUACGACCUCGAUGUUGGAUCAGGACAUCCUAAUGGUGCAGCCGCUAUUAAGGGUUCGUUUGUUCAACGAUUAAAGUCCU
Molecule: ribosomal RNA, 576 nt
Filed under: Heniochus monoceros (masked bannerfish)
Lineage: Eukaryota; Metazoa; Chordata; Actinopteri; Chaetodontiformes; Chaetodontidae
Also listed under: 1 other name
Description: partial 16S ribosomal RNA
Rfam family: Bacterial large subunit ribosomal RNA
Source: RNAcentral